GGGCGAUUGGUUCAGCUGGUUAGAGCGCCUGCUUUACACGCAGGAGAUCGGGGGUUCGAUUCCCUCAUCGCCCACCA
RNAcentral lists this transfer RNA (77 nucleotides) under Planctomycetota bacterium. RNAcentral describes it as "Planctomycetes bacterium tRNA-Val". It matches the Rfam family "tRNA". From Rfam's summary of the family: Transfer RNA (tRNA) molecules are approximately 80 nucleotides in length. Their secondary structure includes four short double-helical elements and three loops (D, anti-codon, and T loops). Further hydrogen bonds mediate the characteristic L-shaped molecular structure. tRNAs have two regions of fundamental functional importance: the anti-codon, which is responsible for specific mRNA codon recognition, and the 3' end, to which the tRNAs corresponding amino acid is attached (by aminoacyl-tRNA synthetases). tRNAs cope with the degeneracy of the genetic code in two manners: having more than one tRNA (with a specific anti-codon) for a particular amino acid; and 'wobble' base-pairing, i.e. permitting non-standard base-pairing at the 3rd anti-codon position. The record is from RNAcentral. Lineage: Bacteria; Pseudomonadati; Planctomycetota.